This 377-nucleotide ribosomal RNA is filed under the name uncultured Gemmatimonadota bacterium. RNAcentral describes it as "bacterial SSU rRNA". It matches the Rfam family "Bacterial small subunit ribosomal RNA", at positions 521 to 896 of the family's 1533-position model. The record is from RNAcentral. Lineage: Bacteria; Pseudomonadati; Gemmatimonadota.
UAAUACGGAGGGUGCAAGCGUUGUCCGGAUUCACUGGGCGUAAAGCGCGCGUAGGCGGCCCUGUAAGUCAUCUGUGAAAUCCCGGGGCUCAACUCCGGGGCUGCAGGUGAUACUGCAGAGCUAGAGCUCGGUAGAGGCAAGUGGAAUUCCCGGUGUAGCGGUGGAAUGCGUAGAUAUCGGGAAGAACACCAGUGGCGAAGGCGGCUUGCUGGGCCGAUGCUAACGCUGAGGCGCGAAAGCGUGGGGAGCAAACAGGAUUAGAUACCCUGGUAGUCCACGCCGUAAACGAUGGGUACUAGGCGUCGGGGGGAGCGACCCCUUCGGUGCCGUCGCUAACGCACUAAGUACCCCGCCUGGGGAGUACGGCCGCAAGGCUG